AUUGAACGCUGGCGGCAGGCCUAACGCAUGCAAGUCGAACGGUAACAGGAAGAAGCUUGCUUCUUUGCUGACGAGUGGCGGACGGGUGAGUAAUGUCUGGGAAACUGCCUGAUGGAGGGGGAUAACUACUGGAAACGGUAGCUAAUACCGCAUAACGUCGCAAGACCAAAGAGGGGGACCUUCGGGCCUCUUGCCAUCGGAUGUGCCCAGAUGGGAUUGGCUAGUAGGUGGGGUAAGGGCUCACCUAGGCGACGAUCCCUACAUGGUCUGGGGGGGGGACAGGCCACAUUGGAGCUGAACCACGGUCCAGACUCCUACGGUAGGCAGCAGUGUGGAAUAUUGCACAGUAGGGGGAAGCAUGAUGCAGCGAUGCGGAGUGUAUGGAGAAGGCCCUGGGGGUGUAAAGUACUUUUAGCGGGGGGAAAGGGAGUAAAGUUAAGACCAUGGCUCAUUGACGUUAACCGCAGAAGAAGCACCGGCUAACUCCGUG
RNAcentral lists this ribosomal RNA (490 nucleotides) under uncultured bacterium. Its description in RNAcentral is "partial 16S ribosomal RNA". It matches the Rfam family "Bacterial small subunit ribosomal RNA", at positions 29 to 507 of the family's 1533-position model. The record is from RNAcentral.